UCAGGAUGAACGCUAGCGGCAGGCUUAACACAUGCAAGUCGAGGGGCGAGCGGGAUGUAGCAAUACAUUGCCGGCGACCGGCGGAUGGGUGCGUAACGCGUAUGCAACCUACCUUAUACAGGGGAAUAACCGUUCGAAAGGGAGACUAACACCCCAUAGUAUUGAUUAAGGCAUCUUAGAUUAAUUAAAUAUUUAUAGGUAUAAGAUGGGCAUGCGUAUGAUUAGCUAGUUGGUAAGGUAACGGCUUACCAAGGCGACGAUCAUUAGGGGUUCUGAGAGGAAGGUCCCCCACACUGGUACUGAGACACGGACCAGACUCCUACGGGAGGCAGCAGUGAGGAAUAUUGGUCAAUGGGCGCAAGCCUGAACCAGCCAUGCCGCGUGCAGGAAAGACGGCCUUAUGGGUUGUAAACUGCUUUUACAUAAGACUAACCGUAUAUUUGCGAAUAUACCUGAAUGUAUUAUGAGAAUAAGGAUCGGCUAACUCCGUGCCAGCAGCGGC
RNAcentral lists this ribosomal RNA (502 nucleotides) under uncultured bacterium. Its description in RNAcentral is "bacterial SSU rRNA". It matches the Rfam family "Bacterial small subunit ribosomal RNA", at positions 24 to 518 of the family's 1533-position model. The record is from RNAcentral.